AUUCGUAGUCAUAUGCUUGUCCCAAAGACUAAGCCAUGCAUGUCCGAGUUAAAGCCGUAGAAAAAGUGAAACUGCGAAUGGCUCAUUAAAUCAGUUACCGUUCACUUGAAGAAUGAAAUGCUACAUGGAUACCUGUGGCAAGUGGAGAGCUAACACAUGCACGUAACGUCCCAACUCAAGAGUGGAUGUGCUAGUUAGACUGCAAACCAACCGGGGUCAAACCCGACCGGUGAUGCAUACGCUUAUCAUUCGGAUCGCACGUCCUCGCGACGGCGACGCUUCAUUCAAGUAACUGCCCUAUCACGUUGUCGGUAGUGUCUUGGACUACCGAGCGGGUCACGGGUAACGGGGAAUCAGAGUUCGAUUCCGGAGAAGGAGCAUGAGACACGGCUACUACAUCCAAGGAAGGCAGCAGGCGCGCAAAUUACCCAAUCGGCAUCGCCGGAGGUAGUGACAGUACCUAUCAAUGGGGAGCCCUCUGGGUUCCCUAAUUGGAAUGAGAUAGUCCUAAAUCACGUGUUGAGGAACUAUUGGAGGGCAAGUCUGGUGCCAGCAGCCGCGGUAAUUCCAGCUCCAACAGCGUAUAUUAAAGUUGUUGCAGUUAAAACGUUCGUAGUCGAACAUCGGAGGCGGACGGAUCACCGGACCACCCGCUCUGCGGGCCCGGCCGUCGACAGCUCUCUUACAUCCUCGCUGCGUGAACUCCGGGCGACCGGGGGGAGCCACGGGAUCUUACCUCGAACAAAUGAGAACGCUUGAGGUUGGCAAAGACUGCCAGAAUCGAUUAGCAUGGAAUAACAGAUUGACGGCGACGUCGUCUGUUGGUUGGCACAUCGCUGUAAUGGUUAAUAGGGGUGCUCGGGGCCAGCCGUACUGCCGGGGGAGGGGUGAAAUCCGUUGAUCCUGGCAAGACGAACUACUGCGAAAGCAGCUGGCAAGGGCACUUUCAUUGAUCAGGAACGAAGGUUGGGGGAUCGAAGACGAUUAGACACCGUUGUAGUCCCAACAGUAAACGAUGCCGACGCGGGCUCUGGCGUCUGAAAUCCAUUCGCUGGGGCCCGUGGAGAAAUUAGAGUCUUUGGGCUCUGGGGGGAGUAUAGUCGCAAGACCGAAACUUAAAGGAAUUGACGGAAGGGCACAACCAGGCGUGGAGCCUGCGGCUUAAUUUGACUCAACACGGGACAACUCACCAGGACAGGACAUGACGAGGAUUGACAGACUUAUAUAUCUCUCAUGAUUUCAUGGGUGGUGGUGCAUGGCCGUUCUUAGUUCGUGGAUUAAUUCGUCUGGUUGAUUCCGAUAACGAACGAGACCAGAACGUGUGGUUGGCGUCGGUACCAUGGCGCCCGCUUCGGCCCUCGUGGCCUGGGGGCUCGUCCCCCUCAGCGGGCGUCUGCCUCAUGUGUGGACUCUGAUCCGGAAACGAGGCCCGCGCCCAAUCAUGCGGACUGCCCGCGCUAUAGUGGGUGGAGGUGUCUGGCAAUAACAGGUCUGUGAUGCCCUUAGAUGUCCUGGGCCGCACGCGCGCUACACUGAUGCGACCAAUGGGCAUCGUCCUUGGCCGAGAGGCUUGGGUAAUCCUGUGAAAUCGCAUUCGUGCUGGGGAUCGAGCUUUGUGACUAUUGCUCGUGCAACUUGGAAUGCCUCGUAAUCGUGGGUCAUUAGCCCACGCUGAAUAUGUCCCUGCCCUUUGUACACACCGCCCGUCGCUACUACCGAUCGAGUGGCUUGGUGAGGAGGUCGGAUCGGCCGUCAUACCCCGGCAACGGGGGAGGUGGCUGAGAAGUCCUUCAAACUUGGUCUCUUAGAGGAAGUACAAGUCGUAACAAGGUUUCCGUAGGU
This 1842-nucleotide ribosomal RNA is filed under the name Tulasnella violea. RNAcentral's name for it is "SSU rRNA". It matches the Rfam family "Eukaryotic small subunit ribosomal RNA". Lineage: Eukaryota; Fungi; Basidiomycota; Agaricomycetes; Cantharellales; Tulasnellaceae. The record is from RNAcentral.